CGAACCAAGCCGGAGCGAACACAUCGAUACCCUCCCCUUUUGAUAGCUAUAACAACCUCGUUUCCAAAUUCUCUGCUGUUGGCUUGGACAUCACCGACCUUGCUACACUUUCCGGUAAAAAAGAACAAUUGGACUUGCAUUUUAAUACGAAACGUGCAACUGUAGAUAUUGAUGCACAAAAAAGAUUUAUAGAGUGAGAUGCUGGAUUUUUGUCACAUAAUUUAUCGGCACAAACAUCUCUUCACUUUUGUUUAACACAUUCUAACUUCCUUAUAUGAUCAUGGUCUAAGAUUAAUUGUAAUCUAUUGACAUGCCUGUCUGGUACAUGGCCUAUGCACGCCUCGUGCAUAGGCCAUGCACAUCUACUAGAAGGAAUUUUGGCUAAGGAUUAUUAAUCUAUAAUUGAAUAAGUAAUUUGCCCUUGACUUGAGAUCGAUUGACAUGCAUGUGUUAUGCCUAGGCCAUGCCUGUAUCAUGCAUGGACCAUGCACAUCUACUAGAACGAAUUUUGGCUAAGGAUUAAGGAUUUCUUUUUCAUCACAAGAGUAUGAAUAUCGGGAAAGAUGGUAUCAAAAUUUGCAAGCCCCUCAUGUACUUAUCCAAGAAAUGCUAUGUUUACAUAAUCAAUAUAUUAAGUGAUGUCGCAAAUCGUUAUUACUUAUUCAUAUAUCCACUAAUGAGUUUGCUGCAUAUGUUUGGCAUACAAAUUCCGUUGAGCAUUCCUAGCAUUGAUCUAUUCAUCCAUCUCCAUAAUUAAGCAUCUGCAGAUAUUUGUUCUCUUAGCUAACUUUUCGUGCAUACGACAAUAAAACAGGAGCUCACACCUUCGGACGUGCACAGUGCAAGUCAUUCAACCCUAGGCUCUACAACUUCACCGCGAACGGUGGCCCUGAUCCCACCAUAAACCCGUGGUACUUGACCAAUCUCCGGAAACUUUGCCCUCAGAAUGGCGACAGUAGUGUCCUCGCCGACCUCGACCCGACAACCCCAAACUUGUUUGACAACCACUACUACUCCAACCUCCAGAAAAAUGAAGGGCUUCUUCUGUCCGAUCAAGAGCUGUACUCCACAACUGGCGCCGCAACAAUUUCCAUCGUCAACAGCUUUAGCUUUGACCAGAGUGCCUUCUUCGAGAGCUUCGCUCGGUCGAUAGUAAACAUGGGAAAUAUUAGUCCUCUCACCGGAAGUAACGGGGAGAUCCGGUUCAAUUGUAGGAAGGUCAAUUGGAGUUGAAAGAGUUUUUUGGGUGGCUUUGGAUGCAUGCAUGUGGGCAAAUAGCAACGUGUAAACUAAAAGUUCAGGCAUUGUUGGAAAUGUCAAUUCUAUAGGAGAGAGCUAGAGGUUUGUAUUUCUACGUCAAGUGCGACAUGUUAAGAGUUGAUUUGAUUGAAGUAUUUCGCUGAAUUGCACAUCUCUUUAAAGAGAUCAUAUUAAAUAAAUGAGAUCUUCUCCCAUGAAGAGUUUGUUGGAAAUUCUUAUAAACGUGAGCUAACAUCAAUCUCAUAUUAUUUUAGUAUGCGAAAGGCAUGUGGUUAUAUAGUAAAUAAAUUACAUGAGACAAUGCUUGAUAGCCCCAAUACAAUUGUUCAAUCAAUUUAUGUUGGGCUUAAGCAUAUCUCGAUAUGGUAAUAGAAUGGCGUUUGAUGGUCGGCGUAGGGUGGUAUUUUAACAAUGACGAUGAUAUUCUUCAACUCUACCAAAGGAGGAGAACAAGAAAAAAAAAAAAACACGCCUUCUUUGGUGUUGAUCAGUUUCAAGAUGGUGGCUGCCUAUAUCAAGUAUACGCAAUUUCGUUUCCAAGUGAAGUACUUUAAAUUCUAUCUUAUUACAUCGGUCAUUUUGAUACACAGUUAUAAAGUUUCUUGAGAUGAGGUUUUAACAAGAUGCUUUGAGAAUUUGCACUUUUCUUCACCUGGAGUUUUUUUAAAAAAAUAAAAAAAAUAAAUAGAAGAUAUGAUGAACGAUCUUGCUAAAAUUUUCUUGUGAUCAUCAAUCAAUCAAGUUAUGUUAUACGGGUUCCCAAUAAGAUCUUUGAUAUGCAAAUGUCUCAUUAGUAAUAACAUGUCAGCUUCUAUUAUAAUUACCAACUCUUAUAUAAAGUUACCAGUUUUAUUUGAGUUUCUUAUUAAUUUUUUUGAAGAAAGUCACUGUUUCAUCUUGCUUUACCAACUCUUAUUUAAAAAAUCUUGCCAGUCUUGAUUUGAUCAAUUUUACGCAAAAAAAAAAAAAAAAAUGUAAACUAUUAGAAUCGUUGGUAAUUUUGAAAUAAUUAGAUAAACGUUAGUAAGUGACUUGAAUAAGAAUUGGUAAGUAAAAAUGAUUUGGUAAAUUCAUGGGCUAAAUAAAGUUGAUAUGUGACCUCCAAAUAAAGUUAGUAAUUUGAAUUAAGAAUUGACAUCUUCAGUCAAAAUCAAUAAGUAAUUAGAAAUUUUGAUAUAACGGAAACAUCAAAUAGAACUUUGAGUUGGUAUUUAAACAUCGAUUUGUUAGUUAAUAAGGAAAAAAUUAGUAAGUUAAUUAUGCUCGUAAGUUGCGUAUUGAAAUAAAUAAGAUGGGUGAUACGAAUUUAUAAGGGAUUUAUUUGUCGCCGACUCUCUCUGUGGUGUAGGCACCUAAAGUUUGGAUCGAACCACGUAAAUUUUUAGGUGUCCUUAUUUCCUUGUUCUCUCACGUUUGACAUCGAAUUGCAAGAUUCAUUAUCUUCCACAUUAUUUCACAACUACUUCAAUUACUUCUCUAAUCAUGAGUUUUUUGAUUUACAGUGUUCUCUGCUCGAUGUAUCUAAUCCAACACUAUAAUAUGUAACAGCAUAUAUCCAUAUUAGAGAAUGAGAAUUCCCUGCGCAAAGAAUAUACUGCUUUUAUCAAUUUGGAUUUUGUUAUCGGAGUGUCUCAAUUACAUUAGUUAAGCAAUCAAUUAAUGAAACUCUCUGGUUUUCAAUGUUGGAGAAAUCUUCUUGAAUUGUUUUGGAGUUGAGAAAACGUUUCUAUCAGUCUAGUCUGAAGGCUUGCAGACUCUACUGUUUAAAGUCUGAAGACCUCCGGACAGCCAGACUCAAAACUCAAAGUCUAUCCUCAUUGACAGUCUCUAAUCCGUUGAAGAAAGGUUAUCUAGAACUGGAUGUUUUGUUAAAGAUUUAACUUUAUCAACUGGAGAAGAUCUCGUGGCUGGAGAAGACAUAACGGAGUCCUUUGAUUGAUUGAAGAUUGACUCGAUAAUUGAAGAUCCGGUGAUUGCCUAAAUAUUAUUGGAAGGUUCUGCUUAUGGAAACCGAGAUCCUGAUUGUAUGGGCGAACAUGAUUGAUGGGCUAUCAACACGUUCCUUUAAUAGCUUGAACAAUCUUCCUAAUUGAUUCUGUCCAACGGAUAGAUUGGAGGAAUUCCUUUGGUAAGUGCCAACGGGUAUGAUGGCAUAAAGGAGUAUAUAAGGAAGACGGUCUUAGUUGUUCAAGGUGUGCGCGAUAGAAGAAUUCCAAAGUCUGAAGCUCUUUUUGUUUAGACAAAUCCUUUGAGCGAAUACUUGUAUACAAAAGAGAGUCUAUAUUUGUGAGAAAUCUUGAGGAGGUGUGGUAGAACAUCUACACUGUGGAAUCAAGGCAAAGCUGUGCUGUAACUUCUCUUUUGUUCAUAGUGGAAUCCAGCCAAUAGGCUGUUAGUGAAGAAGAGUGGACGUAGGCUUGAUAUAAGCCGAACCACUAUAAACCGCGUGUUCAAUUUUCUCUUCUCUCAGUCUUACUUUGAUUAACGUUUCCUUCUACUGUCUAGUAUUGUGCAAUUGUUGAAGAAAAAUCUUUUAUAUACCUAUUCACCCCCCUCUAGGUACUCAUACUAGCAAUAUCAAUUGGUAUCAGAGCCUAUGUACUUACUUUAUUUGAAGUGUUUUACUUCGUAGUAAAAGAUCCAUGGCUAGUAUGCUAACACCAGGGCUGAUGGAAGAGCAAAGCAAUACCAGACCACCCUACUUUGAUGGAAAGGAUUACAACAUCUGGAAGAACAAGAUGAAAGCUUUCCUUCGAUCAAAGGAUCCUCUGGAAUGGGACGUUGUAGAAAAAGGAAUUACUCCUACCACUGCAUCAGUCUCUAAAAGAGGAAAAGAAACUGAUGAGAACAGCGGAAUGACUCAGGAAGAGAUAAUCAAGAGACAAGCACUUGAUGCAAAAGCAAUUUAUUCCUUAUAUUGUGCUUUGUCACCGACUGAAUAUAAUAGAAUAUCUUCUUGUGUUACAGCAAAAGAAGUUUGGGACAGAUUGCAUAUCACCUAUGAAGGAACAUAUCGAGUGAAGGAAACAAGAAUCAACAUUCUUCUCGGUCAAUACGAAGCCUUCAGAAUGAAACCAGGAGAAUCUAUAUCUGACAUGUUUAGUCGUUUUACAGAUAUUGUGAAUGGUCUUGAAAAUCAAGGUCAACCAACUUCUGAUCCCAUGAAGGUAAACAAGCUACUGCGUGGACUCUCCAGGGAUUGGAAUCACAUAAAGACUUCGAUAAGAGAGACGCAAAGAAUUAUGCCACUAUCUGUCGACGAGCUAAUUGGAACUCUUCAGUCUUAUGAAGUGGAACGGAUCAAUGAAGAUGAAGAUCCAAAAGGUAAGAAAUCCAUUGCAUUAAAAUCAAAUGAUGAUUCUGAUGAUACAGAUUCUGAAGAAGAUAUGGAUGAUGAGGAGCUUGCUCUCAUGAUAAGAAGAUUCAGAAAACUGAAUAGAAAAGGAAGAAGGUUCAACUCAAAGAAACAAAGCUUUCAAAGACAGCAGACCAAGUCUGUUGAUGAUGAGGAACCAAACAAAGACAUAGUCUGCUUUGAAUGUAAGAAAAAGGGACACAUCAGACCCAACUGUCCUCUUCUGAAGAAGAAGAGAGGAAAAUCUGAAAAAUUUCGAAAAGCUCUCAAAGCCAAAACCUGGAGUGAUACAGAGUGUGAAGAAAGUGAUAAUGAAUAUGCCAAUCUAUGUCUGAUGGCACAAUCAGACUCAGACUCUGGAUCAGACUCAGACAGUGAAUUUGAGGCAAGUAAUUUUAAAAUUCCUGUCAAAGUUUCUAAAUACAUUGAUGAACUGUGUUUUAGUCUUAAGACUUAUCUCAAAAGAAUUUCCGAACUGAAAAAGGAAAACUCAGCUCUAAAACAAAAGGAAAAUGUUUUAGUAGAAAGAGUUAAAAGUCUAGACUUGACUGUUUCCACUCUUAAAGAAAAUGAAGAUAAUCUUUUAAAAGAAAAUGCUCUUUUAAAAACAGACUUAUCAAAUAUUUCAAAGAAAUUUUCAAUAUGGUCUGAAAAACUUGAGAAAAUUCUUUCAGCUCAAAGACCUUACUUCAAUAAGUCCGGUCUAGGUAUGACAGCAGAAACAAUUCCCUUGAUUGAUUUUCCUAAAGUAAAAGAAAGAAUUAAGAAAAGACUCUCGAGAGAGGCUUACAAAAAUCACUUCAAGAAAGUUUUUGUAAAAUCUGUAGGUAGAAAUGCUCUCAGAUGUUCAAAAUGCAACAGUCCGGAUCACUUUGAAAAAGAGUGUCAUAUGGUUUGGAAACCUGUUAAGAAAAUAUGGGCUAAUACUGCUUAUGUUACUAACACCAAAGGACCCAAGAAAGUUUGGGUACCAAAGAAAGCUUGAGACUCUAUUUUAAAUGCAGGUCACUGUCAAGAAAAAGGUAAAGUGGUAUCUUGACAGUGGAUGCUCAAGACACAUGACGGGAGACUCAAAUUGUUUUAUAAAACUUGCUCAAGUAAAUGGUGGAAAAGUUUCAUUUGGAGGAAACAACAAAGGAAGUAUUGUGGGAUUUGGAACUGUGAAAAUUGGAAAUCUCACAAUAAGUAAUGUUUCCUUAGUGGAAGGACUCAAUUACAAUCUUCUCAGCAUUAGUCAACUGUGUGAUACUGGUUUCAAGAUCUUCUUUCAAGAAGGAAUAUGUUCUGGAAUCAGUAAAGACUCUACUCAGUCUUUUAUGGGUCGAAGACAUGGAAACAUCUAUCUUCUGGAUGUAAAACCAAAUGAAUCGCAAUGUUUUAUCUCAAUUCAAGAUGAAGCAAGCUUAUGGCACAGAAAGCUUGGUCAUGUCAACAUGAAGCAAUUAGCCAAAAUCUCAUCAAAACAGCUUGUUCGAGGACUACCCAAAUUACCUUAUCAAAAGACUGAUCCAUGCACUCCAUGUAUUCUGGGAAAGCAGGUAAGAAAUUCAUUUAAGCCAAUAAAUCAUGUCUCUACUAAUCGUGUACUACAGUUGCUGCAUAUGGAUCUCUUUGGACCAACCAGAACACAGAGUAUUGGAGGUAAGAAAUAUUGCUUAGUAAUUGUGGACGAUUACUUCCGUUUUGCUUGGGUAUAUUUCCUUGCAAGUAAGUCCGAAACCUUCUCGUAUUUUGAAAAAUUUCCUAAAAAGGUUCAAAAUGAAAAAGGAUGUGUCAUCUCAAGUAUAAGAACAGAUCAUGGAGGUGAAUUUGAAAAUCAAGAUUUUAUAAAAUUUUGUGAUGAAUUUGGAUUUAAUCAUGUGUUCUCCUCUCCAUAUAUUCCUCAGCAAAAUGGAGUUGUGGAAAGAAAGAACAGAUCUCUUCAAGAAAUGGCUAGAACUCUUUUAAUUGAAAGCAAAAUUUCUUCACGAUUUUGGGCUGAAGCUGUUUCAACAGCAUGCUAUAUAAUCAAUAGAGUCUUCUUAAGACCUAUUCUAGAGAAAACCCCUUAUGAGUUAUUCAAAGAUAAGAAGCCUAUUGUUUCAUACUUUAAUGUAUUCGGUUGCAAAUGUUUUAUAUUGAAAAAUACAAAAGAUCGAGUUGGUAAGUUUGAAGAAAGAUAAGAUGAAGGUAUCUUCCAUGGAUAUUCUACAUCAAGCAAAGCCUUCAGAGUCUAUAACAAGAAGAGCCAGUCUGUAGAGGAGUCAAAGAAUGUCAAAUUUCAAGACUCAACGCAAGAUGAAUCAAGUCAGACUCAUCAAGAAGAGUCUGAACCUGCUACAGACCUUCCAAAGCUUACAACUCAAGAAGCAUCUCAGACUCUGGAAAACCAGCAUCAGGAUGCUCGUGAAGAUCCAAACAAAGAAAGAGAUCAUCAUCCAGACAAAUCAACAAGUAACUGGAAGCAUAAGUCCAGUCAUCCCAAAGAUCUUAUAAUCGGCGAAAUUAAUGAAGGAAUUCGCACCGGAUCCAAAAGGCGAGAAGAGUCUAGUGCUGUGGCUCUCGUUUCUGAAAUUGAACCAAAAAGCAUAGAAGAAGCUUUAUCUGAUGAAAGCUAGAUUGAAGCUAUGCAAGAAGAGCUCAGACAGUUCAACAUUAAUGAUGUUUGGGAAUUGACAUCCAAACCAAAAGGUAAAACUGUUAUUGGAGCUAAAUGGGUGUUCAGAAACAAGAUGAAUGAGAAAGGAAAAGUCGUACGAAACAAAGCAAGACUCGUAGCCAAGGGAUAUACGCAAGAAGAAGGAAUAGACUAUGAUGAGACUUACGCUCCAGUAGCAAGGUUAGAAGCUAUUCGACUAUUACUUGCGUUUGCUUGUUAUAAGAAUUUCAGGUUAUUCCAAAUGGACGUCAAAAGCGCCUUCCUAAAUGGAUUUAUCCAUGAGGAAGUUUAUGUGGAACAACCACCAGGGUUUGAAGACCCAAAGAAGCCAGACUCAGUCUUCAGACUGAAAAAGGCUUUGUAUGGUUUAAAGCAAGCACCUCGAGCUUGGUACGACAGAUUGAGUAAGUUUUUAAUACAAAAUGAUUUUGUCAAAGGUAAAGUAGAUACGACUUUAUUUAUCAAAAAGGAAAACAAAAGUUUCUUACUUGUUCAAAUAUAUGUGGAUGACAUUAUUUUCGGAUCCUCUAAUGAAAAUCUGUGCAAGAAAUUUUCUAAGUCUAUGCAGGAUGAGUUUGAAAUGAGUAUGAUGGGAGAGUUAACAUUCUUUCUUGGUCUUCAAGUAAAACAAUUGAAGGAAGGAACUUUUAUUUAUCAAGAAAAAUAUGUUAAUGAUCUUGUCAAAAGAUUUGGACUGGAAAAGUGCAAAAAGACCGACAUACCGAUGUCAAGUUCUUUGAAGAUAGACAAAGAUGAAGAAGGGAAGAAAGUUGAUCAAAAGCUGUACAGGAGCAUCAUUGGUUCACUCCUUUAUCUUACUGCUUCUAGACCUGACAUCUUGUUGAGUGUUUGCAUCUGUGCUAGGUUUCAAUCAAAUCCUAGAGAAUCCCAUCUCAGUGCUGCGAAAUGCAUCAUUAAAUACGUUGCUUCAUCAUCAAGCAUCGGUCUUUGGUAUCCUAAGAAGGGAGACUUCAAUCUUCUGGGAUAUUCAGAUGCAGAUCUGGCCGGUUGCAGAGUUGAUAGAAAGAGCACUUCGGGAACUUGCCAGUUGCUUAGAAGUAGGACAGUGUCUUGGUUUUCAAGGAAACAAAGCACUGUGUCCCUUUCAACAACAGAAGCAGAGUAUGUAGCCCUGAGAAGCUGCUGUUCGCAAAUUCUAUGGAUAAAACAACAGCUAAGAGACUUUGAAAUUGAAGACUCAUGCACGGAGAUUAAUUGCGACAACACCAGCGCUAUCAACCUCACCAAAAAUCCAAUUCUCCACUCAAGAGCAAAGCAUAUAGAGAUUCGACAUCACUUUAUUAGAGAUCAUGUUCAAAAUGGAGAUGUUUCAAUUCAAUUUGUUGACUCAAAGAAUCAACUAGCGGAUAUAUUCACAAAGCCUUUGGAGAAAAAUCAAUUUGAGUCUAUACGUUUCAGACUCAACAUUUUGAGGUAUGAGAAUAUCAAAGUCUAAAGACCUUCAGACUCAGUCUUACAAGACUUUAUCUGAAAGAUAGUCUUGGUACGACCGUCAGACUGUAAGUCUCUCUCUCUUGAAUCUCAUCUUGAAAAGGUACGAUCGUCAGACUGUGUUUAAAUUGUUGCUAUAUUUAAUUGACGUAAAUAUUGCAUCGUUUCAUUUUCAAAAAGGAAGUUAUUUUUGAAAUGGCUAUUUUUGCGGAAAAAGACAGUUAUUUUGAAAAGGCAUUCUUUUAUUUCCUUUGUGACGGUUCGUUUAUCCCUCUUUUUAACCGAUCGUGCACUGUCGAUUCCUCUUCACUUUUCUCUCAAAAACCCUAGAAAGCAUCGAUCCUCCAUUCCCGUUUGUCUUCUUCGCUUAAUCCUCAAAAAGUUGUCAUCUUUCCUGGGAAAGUCAAGCAAGGAAUCUUCCAAAAACUGAGAAAGAUGUCAUCUUCAAGAAAGUCUUCGAGAAUUGCAAGUAGGGGACCACGGCGAAUGAGUGAGGGGCCUACGCACUUCGAUCUUACUAAAGACGAAGUGACUCCAGAACAGCAAGCAAGCCCACAACAUUCUCAACAGCGUCAUUCUCCUCCAUCUAGUCCUCAAGGCGUUGAUCAUCAACAGGAAGAAAUGUGACAUCCAGAUUUUCGGGUCCUAAUUUUGACUGGAUAAUAGGGCCGCUUUUGUUCGGUUGAAGCCAAGGAGUGUGAAAUUGGGAUACAAGUGGGCUACAUUGGUAAGGAAAAAUAUCAAUUGGAAUGAUGAGGCGUUGAAUGAAAUUAUGGGAGUCAAUUUGAUUUAAUUCAAGAGGAAUUAAGGCCUAAUUGGAGAGAAACCCUAGCAAAAUUCGUAUGCCACACUUACCCCCACAUUUUGGCCUAUCUAAAGGCUUCUAGAAGGGGUAGUUUUGGGCUGGAAAUGUGGGUGGAUGACAGCCAUAGUGGCCCACGUAUGGCUGACCUAAGAGAGAGAGAGAGUGAGAGAAAAAGAAAGAAAAAUGGGUUUUCUCUUCUCCCCUUCUCUCUCCCGUCGCUGUCUCUCUCUUCCUCCAUCUUCUUCUUUGGUUGUGCGACGCCAUGGAAGCCGAAGAAGCCGAAGCAACAGCAACAGCUCCGCCCAUCGUCGCCUCUCGUCGUCAUCGUCGCACGCCCGCAAGCACCGAAGCUGCUCGCGCACCCGAGCCGCCGCCGAGCUGCUGACCGCGUGCGUCCGCCCAUCUCCUCCCUCUGGUUCGAACAGAACUGACCAGUAAGAGUAGAAGCAGCGAUCGGCGCUGCUUGAAGGAGCUGCAAUCGCGCCGGAGCUGCCAUCGCCGCCGCACGCUGCCUCGUCACCGUCUGCUUCUCGCCUGCCGUGCACCGCCUGCCUGGGUCCAAACAAGCUGCUGUCCAGCCUCUGUUCCGCCCCUAUUCAGUCCCGUUCAGCCGCCUCCGGCCACCUCCCGACCACCUCCGACCACCUUUAGCCUCGCCGGAGCUCCGCCUUGCCCUCAGCCGCCCUUGGCCGCCUCAACCAGCCCCGGAUCUGCCCCGACCAGCAGCGAUCAGAGGGUUGCAGAAAAUGGGUAUCGCAGAGGGUUUUGGCCCGUUUUGGCCGUCUUCCCGAGCCCGGAUGCUCGGCCCGCUUUGGGGAAAGUCGAUCAUCGCGUCGAGCCCGUCGUUUUGAGUGAGUUUUACUCACUAAUGCCUUCUUAGUGCGCUAAUUAUACUUAAAGGUUGAUUAGUGUUAAUUAAGUGUAAUUAGGUUGUUAGAUUGUAAUUGAUUAGUGAUUAUUAGUUAAUUGCUUUGCAUAUUAGUUGUGUGAUUAGUGUAAUUAGAUAGAGAAUUGCAUGUAGUAUUUAUUGGAUCCUUCUUGGGAUUUUUCCCGUCCCUUAUCGGGUGUUUAUUAAGCGAUUCGGGCCUAGGUGGUAUUUUUUUAGGAAUUAAAUAUUAAUUUUCGAAAUUAAUUAUUUAAUUAUUUAUUUCCCGGAAAUUCAAUUGAGAUGGCUAGUGACCGGGAUUUUAUGCUGAAGAUCAUGGCGCAGUCCGUUUAUUUAAUUGAGCUUUAUAUUGUGCUAAAUUGAAUUUAUUGUAUUUAUUUAUUUAAUUUUCGAAAUUAAUAAAUUAAUUAAUUAUUUUUCGGAAAUUAAGAUUUUGAUGGCCGACGACCGAAAUCUCGUGCUGAUUGUCGUGGCGCAGUCCGUUUAUUUAUUUGAGCUCUACGUUGUAUGGAAUUGAAUAAAUUGUGAUAUUUUAGGGAUUUACCCUAAUUUGAUUGAUUGAAUUGAGAUAUGAAUUGGUUUAUAUAUGUAUCCGCUUAGGCGAGCAAUUAUGAUAUACAUAUAUAUAUGGCAGCUUCUGGUGAGCUAUAGUAUACUAUAUGAAUAUAUGGCAGCUUCUGGUGAGCUAUAGUAUACUAUAUGAAUAUUGCGGCAGCUUCUGGUGAGCUAUAGUAUACUAUAUGAAUAUUGCGGCAGCUUCUGGUGAGCUAUAGUAUACUAUAUUGAAUAUUGCGGCAGCUUCUGGUGAGCUAAGAUCCAUAUAUCAGCUUGUGCGAGCUAUCAUCUAUGUAUAUAUCAGCUUGUGCGAGCUACCAUCUAUAUCAGCUUAUGAGAGCAUUGCAUCCAUUUCAGCUUGUGCGAGCCAUAAUUGUAUUGAUGGAUGAAUAGAUGGUAUGGUUUAAUAGAUGAUAUGAAUUGAUAGAUGUGUGGAUCGUAUGAUAUCAAUUGGAUUGACUGAAUUGAUAGACCGAUGGGUAUGUCGGUAGAUUCAGCUUGUGCGAGCAUUGUUUGAAUAUUGAAUUGUUUACGUUGGCUCGGUGAUCUGAUGCGUCACUUUGGUAAGCGAGUACCUUAGAGAAUGCACGUGGGCCCGGGCAUCGUAAAAAGGACACGUGGCUCGGUGGCUUGAUGUACCACCUUGGCGAAGAGGUCGCCUUAGAGAAUGCACGUGGGCCCGAGGUUUGAGGCACGUGGUUCGGGGACUUGGAAUGUCAUCCUUGAAAAUGCACGUGUCCUAGCUUUUUGAUACUCCUCCGUGGAGAGUGAUUUGUAUGACAUGUAAUCGACUAGGUCGAUUGAUCAUUGUUUUGAUAGGAUGUUGUGAAUUGAUUGAUUGAAUGGGAAUGACCGUGAGUGGUCUUGUUGACAUGUAAUCGACUAAGUCGAUUAGAUCGAUGCUUCGAUCUGUGAUGUGAUUGCUUGUGUGCCUAUUUGAUCUGUACUAAUAUGCAGGUAGAAUCUGAGGCUAAGGUAAGUUCUUUGACUCAUGUUGUGCAUAGGCAGCCCUAAGGUGUAUUAGUUUACUAAUCGGGUCUUAGGAGGUAGAACUUGCUGAGACGUGGUCUCAGUGGUUAUUGAAUAACCAUUUCAGGACCUGGAUGAGGAGCCUAAGGAGCAUGAAUCUGACGAGGAGAUCCUUGUUGAGGAACCCUGAAGAGGAGUACGUGGAGGAGGACCCCGAGUAUGACAUCGAGUACGACCCGGAUGAGGACCGAAAUCCUAUCCUGUCUUGUCAGACCUUGUUUGCAUGUAAAAAGUUGUAGUUGUGAAUUUUCAGUGAGAAAAAUGUAUGGCCUGCUUUUCUAUCCCAUUGCUUUAUUGUCUGGGGAUUUAUAAUUGCUUCCACAUGUGCUAUAAAGAAUGAAAGGGUCGGCGAUACAUAGUCCUGGGAUAUCGCAAUUUAAAAUCGACCAAGAGUAAGGGAUGUGUGCGUGCCUGAGGGUCGGGGCGUGACAAGAAAUCAUCGAGGAUGCAGACCCUGUAAGAGUUCAAAAGCCCACUUAUAUUUACCAGUUAUAUCGUGCCCUAAAAGGAAUUCGUACUCCUUUGAACUACAUUGAUGAUUUUCUUAAAGACAAAGGACAUGGGAAUGAAUAUAUCUUUCUGCGAAAAAUGGAAAGUUUGGGAAUUGCUCGAAAAGGGGUGGUUGAGGAAACCCUUGCAAAUAUCCCAAGUGAUCCUCGUGACUGGGGGCCGAAUCCUAUAGAUGGGAAUGAUGAUGAUAAAUUAUACAGUCAAUUUCAACCAAAAAUGGGUGUUGCGGUUGAAAAUCAAGGAAAAAUGGGAGAUUUGUUCAGAUCAAAGGAGCAAAAGGAUCUGUACUCGAAAUUGCUGAAGCGUGGGGUAAUAAACCCUAGGAGUGUGGAUUUUGAUUUUCUGGAUGCUGUGAAUGUGAACUUGAGGGAAAUGUUCAGUUAUCUUCAACUUGAAAAGUUCUGCUCUGACUCUACAGAGGCCUAUGCUGAAUUAACUGCAUAUUUCUAUUCAAAUCUAAGCUUUUUGGAUGCGAAUAGAUUCUCUUUCAACGUUAAAGACCAAGACUAUGUUGUGGAUAUGAAUAUGCUGGCAGAUGUGUUAGAAGUCGAAAGAGGAAGAUAUCAACCAAUCAAAGUUUCCAUUGCUCGGGCCACACUUGAACUGGUGAAGGACAGGAGAACAGAUGAAAAGAUCACCUACUUAAGGAUGGGUGCAUUCAACAUCUUACUCCACAAGAUUGUGAUUAAUUGCCUCCGACCGAAAUCAACUUCCAAGACUGAUGUUUCAAGUUCAGAGGCCAAGCUGAUGUAUGCCAUUCUCUUUGGAAAAAGGUUUUCUCUCCCUCACACUGUGAUGUUUCACAUGUAUAGAGCAAUGAUGAAGGACAGAGGUCAACUCCCUUACCCAAGCCUUGUUACGAAGUUAUUUAGACAUCUGAAUAUUCAGCCUCUACAAAUCUUUUGUGUUCGACCAUGCGAUCAUAUGGUGGUAGGACCGAAAAUGGUGACCAAAAUGCGUCUGAAGGAACUGAGCAAGGAGUUGGAGAAAUUCAAGGAGAAGACUCCUGCAAAAUCUCAUCAAAUCUCUUCUGCAGCUAAAAGAAAAGGGAAGGAGCCCAUGGUUGCUCCAUCCAAGAGAAGAAGAGCUCUCCUCGUUGAGGAUGAAGAUGAUGAGGAAGACAUCACCAUCUCUGCAUUGGCUUUGAAGAAUUUAAGUCGUCUUGUUCCACAGAAAGAAUCGGAACAAAUGACGAAAGAAGCAGAGGAGAAGGAAGAAGAAGAAAUAGAAGCUGAAAAAGAAACAAAGGAGGAAAGACCUGAAGAAGAAAGAAGAGAAGAAGGAGAACCUAAAGAACACUCUUCUCCACCUGUAGGCAUGGAAACAGGGGGAGAUCAGGAGAAAGGAGUAAAGUCUUCAUAUCCUGAUGCAAGUGAAGGAGUCAGUCGCUCACCAGCAGACCCAGAGGAUGUUUAUGCAUCUCAGUUUCCAGAGGAAGGUCAUGAAGUUUCAUCGCCAAAUCUGCGAGAUUAUGCUGAUCUACCAUCGUCUGCAUUUACUCCAUCAGAUUGAGCCGAAGCAAGUACUCAGACUGAUAAUGGAGCAGAUUUUCGCAGAAUCAUGGAUAUUCUCUUGGAGAUGCGAGGUCAGAUUUAUGCCUUGGGAUGCGAAGUUCAAAGCUUGAAGAAUGAAGGUCAAGCUUCUUCCUGUUCAUUGAAUGAUAAAAUGCAAGCCCUCUCUGUUCAGAAUCAGGCCAAUGCCAAGAGUGAGGAGAUUGCACAACUAAAGGAAGACUUUAAAAGGCUGGAAGGCAUCGUUCAGUUUAUGGAAGAUUUCCAGCUUGUCCACGUUCCCAAGCAAUCUUGACUUCAUCUCAUCCUUUUUAAUGAUGACAAAAAGGGGGAGAGAUGCAAGAUUUGAACAAAAACUUUUCAUUCAUUAAACUUUUAAUCGUUUGUUGGAUUGUUUUGUGGUUUGAACUCUGUUUGACUUUGUUUUUGUGUCUGGAUAAGAACUGAACUAGACUUGGACUUGACUGUUUCUAUUAACUAAUAUUGAUAUCUUAUGGAUGGCUUCAUCAUAUACUGGACUAAUCUAUUUUAUGUGGUUGCAGAUUCUAGUGUUAUUCUGUUAAGCCAUUUAUCUCUAUAAGAUAUGCAUAUGUGUUUGAGAAAUGUUUUGCAGGUCAAAGAUAUCCAAAUCUGCAGGAAAGUUUUGUCACCAUCAAAAAGGGGGAGAUUGUUGGAGAAAUCUUCUUGAAUUGUUUUGGAGUUGAGAAAACGUUUCUAUCAGUCUAGUCUGAAGGCUUGCAGACUCUACUGUUUAAAGUCUGAAGACCUCCGGACAGCCAGACUCAAAACUCAAAGUCUAUCCUCAUUGACAGUCUCUAAUCCGUUGAAGAAAGGUUAUCUAGAACUGGAUGUUUUGUUAAAGAUUUAACUUUAUCAACUGGAGAAGAUCUCGUGGCUGGAGAAGACAUAACGAAGUCCUUUGAUUGAUCGAAGAUUGACUCGAUAAUUGAAGAUCUGGUGAUUGCCUAAAUAUUAUUGGAAGGUUCUGCUUAUGGAAACCGAGAUCCUGAUUGUAUGGGCGAACAGGAUUGAUGGGCUAUCAACACGUUCCUUUAAUAGCUUGAACAAUCUUCCUAAUUGAUUCUGUCCAACGGAUAGAUUGGAGGAAUUCCUUUGGUAAGUGCCAACGGGUAUGAUGGCAUAAAGGAGUAUAUAAGGAAGACGGUCUUAGUUGUUCAAGGUGUGCGCGAUAGAAGAAUUCCAAAGUCUGAAGCUCUUUUUGUUUAGACAAAUCCUUUGAGCGAAUACUUGUAUACAAAAGAGAGUCUAUAUUUGUGAGAAAUCUUGAGGAGGUGUGGUAGAACAUCUACACUGUGGAAUCAAGGCAAAGCUGUGCUGUAACUUCUCUUUUGUUCAUAGUGGAAUCCAGCCAAUAGGCUGUUAGUGAAGAAGAGUGGACGUAGGCUUGAUAUAAGCCGAACCACUAUAAACCGCGUGUUCAAUUUUCUCUUCUCUCAGUCUUACUUUGAUUAACGUCUCCUUCUACUGUCUAGUAUUGUGCAAUUGUUGAAGAAAAAUCUUUUAUAUACCUAUUCACCCCCCUCUAGGUACUCAUACUAGCAAUAUCAUUCAAUUCAUCAAUUGUCUCUUGUCAUGCACAACCAAUGCAUUAAAUAUUUGAUUAUUUCAAAUAAGUAUACUCGACAGGGUCUUUGAGGGUAUUUGUUAAUAGCACCCCGAUCAAUUUAUCAGAAACUCCACGAACAUAGGAAUCCAAGCAUCUUAGUUAUACAUCGAACUCUGUUCCUAAAAUUUCCAGAAAGAAUUAGUUUGAGGAUUUCCCUGCAUAUAAAGGUUAGGUUUCGACUGUAUAGAUAAGGAAGACUAAGCAAAAUUCAUUUUGAACUGUGUUAUUUCGAAGUUAGGUAUGUCCUAAGCAACAUCCCCGAACAAAAUGGAUCCUGCCUUUCUCUUCCUGAAAGGGGAUAUCUGGACUCAGUUCAUCUGUUGUAAGUCAAUAAUGGAAGUCGAAACUCUUUCAAUGAAGAUAUCAUUUAAUAGUCAGAAUCUAUAAAGGAGUUUUGAGUGUUGAUCGAGGCCUCUUCUCAACUCUUAUUGAGGUUACAUUGAAUCAACUGCUACGAACAAAUUUCUUGUGGACCCAAGGCUUGUUGCAGCCUACAUGAUCACGAUCGUGCCUGGGAAGGGCAAAGUAACAGAGUGAAAUUUCGGCUCGAAAGAUGCAACCAUUACCUUAACCAUCACUGCAAUGCAGGUUCCUUUUGGAGUGCAACCGAUGGAAACUUUACUAUCUGACCCGCACGUAUCAAGAACGAGAAACAUAAAAACAGGGAGAAAAAAUCAGAGGAGAAGGCAUGCAAAUAAUUUCCGUGGAAAAAUUCUUUAAAAAUAAGAAAGAAAAAUCACGGUGCAAGUUAAGCGAUUUGAUAUUGCCCUGAGUUGACAUAUAUAUUUAAAAAAAAAAACGUGAAAUAUAUUGAUCGGGACAAACUCCAUGAACUCUAGCUUACCUGCUCUAGCUUGUUGCGUUACAAUGUUUUCAUUCUCUCUCGCAUUUAAAUAGUUUGAAAUGAUUGAUAAAGAGUUAUCAUCUUUGGCUAAUAUUUUAACUAAACUAAGUAAUCGUUUAAGAUUAAACUUUUCAGUAUAUAUUAAUUCCUUUUUUUGAGUAUAAAAGUAGAAAUGAAAGACCUUUCCAUAUUCAUCCUCCUUUCUUUUAUACGAUUUUUGCAUGGUUGGGUAGGUUUGCUUAUGUUUAGAGAUCCUGCAAGCAAUCGAUUUGAAAGACGGAGCUUGAUCCAAAAAAAUUGAAGUAAAUUCACAAAUGAUGAAAAAAUAUUUUAGAUUUUAAUUUCCUCGAAUUUACUCUUUAUUUUCACCGCAUUCUUAGGUUAGUAUUAUCUUAAAAGAAAAUCAUAUGAUUUAUAAAACAUGACAUCGCGACAUUUUUUGUUCCUCCUAUCAAUCUUUGACUCCUAAAAUUUGAUAUUUCACUAAGUAAAAUAUCGGACGAACUGCGUCUCUUCCAAAUUAAACUUGAACCGUGCAACUGCUCUCAGACGAACCAUUCGAUCUUGUUGUGAAAUGUGAUUUCGCUCGCGCCACCGUGUGUUGGUCAUUGUUGACCCGUCAAUGGUCAACAGUGAACACCACAUUUUCUCUUCCUUCUCCAGAUAAUACAUGUAUAAAUACAAAAUAAAGAAAACAGGUAGAAUAAGUAUUAUUAGGACAUAUACGAGGCAGGCGUUUGGGUGGUCGUUAGAGACGUGUUGGCGGUGAUGGCGGCGGCGGAUGAACCGAGUACUUUUUCUCCCACUAACAAAUGAAUAAUAGACAGUCCAUAUGUGUAAAUCAAUUUGCAAACUCGAACAAAACGAGCAACAGAAAAUCUUGGUUUCGAUUAACUAAGAAAAGUAUUUGUCUCACAAAAAGAAAGUAGGAUAGAUUUAUGAUACAUAAUUAAAGUCAAAGUUAAGAGUAUGAUCAUUCAUGUGCUCUUCACGUGACACUUAAUUUUAUUGUUGUGAUUAUCACGUGGCAUAGCUUUUUCCAUGUCGUCCAUAUUUGACCAAUCAGCAUUAUUUUGUCGAUUUUUUGUCACCAAACUUCCAACCCUUAUUGUGAUGUCAUCCAUAAGUAAGAUCCAUCCCCACACAUAAAUGGUCACUACUUUGUGUUGCUAUUCAAAGUGCUUGUUUUGAAGGCUUGACCCAUGCCAAAUGGACAUGAUAGUUACAAAUGUUAUUAGAGUAUGAUCAUCUACCAUGGACAAAUUAGGCUCAUCCUUGAUCCGACAAGAGUAGCUUGCUUAGAUAAGGUGUGGAUCUUAUCAAAGCUUUUAAGAUGGCAGAGAAGGCAAAACGAAUAGGAGGGGUUGAUAUUGCUAGUACGAGUACCUAGAGGGGGGUGAAUAGGUUUAUAAAAAUUUCUUGAAGAUUUCACAAUACUUAGACAGAUGAAGGAAAAAAAAAUCAAUCGUAAGACUGAGUAAAGGAAAGAGAGAAUUGAACACGCGGUUUAUAGUGGUUCGGCUUGAUGCAAGCCUACGUCCACUCUUUUGCACUGACAGCCGAUUGGCUGGAUUCCACUAUGAACAAAGAGAUGUUACGGUGUUGAUCUUCCUUGAUUUCUCGAUGUAGAUGAUCUACUACACUCGCUCAAGGUAUCACCAAGUAUAAACACUCUCUGUGUAUACAAUUUCGCUCAAACUGUAUCGACUAACAAUCAAGGUUCUUCAGACUCUGGAAUUUUUCUAUCAAUCACACACUUAAAUCAACUAGAACGUCUUCCUUUUAUACUCCUUUAUGCCUUCAUAGCCGUUGGCACUUAUCAAAGGAAUUCCUCCAAUCUACCCGUCGGACGGAAUCAAUUAAGAAGAUCAUCCGAGUUAUUUAAGGAAUCUGAUGAUAGCCCAUCAAUCCUGUUCGCCCAUACAAUCAGGAUCUUGGUUUCCAAGAAUAGAACAUUCCAAGAAUGUUUCGUCAAACAUUGGAUCUUCAAUUGAUCUUAGAUAAGAAUCAAAAAAUCCGAAAUGAUUAUCCAACCAAGGGAUCUUUUCCGAGGAUAGGAUCGAAUCCUCAACCAUAUACUUAGGCUUCAGAUUUCCUUCGUCACUGGAUUAGAAAGACUGUCAGUGAGAAUAGUCUUGAAUCUUGAGUCUUGAGUCUUGAGUCUUGAGACUUUAAACUGUCGACAUCCAGACUAGACUGAUAGAAAUGUUUUGUUAGCUUCAAAAUAUUCUGGAAAGAUUUCUCCAACAGGGGUAUCGCUCGGCAACAGUAUGGACCAACAAUAAUGAGAAUGUCGGUGGUUUGUGGGGGAAAGUUUGUGACACCACUAGACAGAUUAUGGAUGGUAAAACUUGCGACGUUAUUUAUAAGUAAGAUUCACUGCCAAAUAGUCGCCAUCUUUUUUACCAUAGGACCAAUAGAAUUUCACAAUAAUGUGAAGGGGUGGGCCUUAAUUUACAGGUAAACUAAAAAAAAAAACAAAAACAAAAACAAAAACAAAACAAAAGAGGAGUAAAAUGUUAGCAUUAUGGUUUGUAGUAAUUGUAAUUUUUUGUUUCCCCCUCUCUUUUCCAUUUGGUAUUACACUUCAUAACAUAAACAUUUUAUCGGUGACGAGGGAAUACAAGGGAAGAUAAAGAAUUAUAUGAACAAAAUCGUGUUAGUUGGAGAAAAAGAGAUAGUGUGAUUGGUAGUGAUUAGGAGAAAUUAGGAAGGAUCGUCCGGUCAAUUUAAUGUAUGUUCUAAAUCCCUUUGGAGGGAUUAGGAGGGAAUAUGAGGGAUUUGAGUAUUAUAUAACCAAUUUUAUUCUACUAUCUCACUUAUACCCUUAUUUCACAUCUAUUUAUCCAUAUAUUAUAAAUACAAGUUUUCAUCUUUUUUUCCUUCACGAGCAUUCAACUAACACUAUUACUUAAUUCCUUCAAAUCAUUUUACCUCUUUUCUAUCAUAAUUAUCUAAAUACAUUAUUUUCCUUCCUAAUCACUCCGUUCAAACUGAGCGUGAAGUUGUUGUAUUAACUUUUAUCUUUUGACUAAUAGAUAUUGAAGCUUUGUCUGAAUUACUACAUAAUAAAACUUAAGAAGAUAUGCCAAUAGAGAUUUGCACUCAUUGUGGAUAAAGAUGAAUCAUGAUGUGAUUAUUGAUCAUUUAGGGAGCGAAUGAUAACCAUUAUGGUUAGAAAUUGAUUUAUGGAAGAAAAAUAGAUUUUUCUAUUUUUAUUUCUAGAUGAGUUUCUAAGCAAAAAUACAUGUUUGAUAAUGAUAUAAAAUUUCUAUUCUAAAAAUAGAAAUUCGUUUGAUAACGACACAAAAUUUAUUUUUUUCGACCGAUGGCCGGCAACCGGCGGCGGGCAGCAAAGGCCGGCGAUUAGCAAUCGGCGAUGGCAGUGGUCGGCGACCGGUGACGGUUGGCGACCGGCGGAAGGCGGCGGUGACAGAUGGAGGACCGAUUUCUAGUAAGGACGAACGAUGAGAAUAAUUUUUAUUUCAGAAAUAGAGAAGUCGAAAAUUUUUACUUCUAAUUUCUAUUCCAAACCUAUUUCUGGAACAAAAGUCUAUUUCAGAAAUAGAAAAAAUGCAAUAAUUUUAUCAAACGGAUUUCUAUUUCAGAAACAAGUCUGGAAUAAAAAAAUUGUUUAUGGAACAGAAAUUGUAGGUUAUCAUGUACCCCUUAUUCCUGAUUUCUAAGGAUGUAAAUGGCGGACUAGGCCGAGCUUCUAGCCUAUUUUUGACGGCCCUGCUCAAACUAUUGGGCCUAAGAUAUCCAAGCAUGAAAAGAACCCCUAAACCCAAGAUGCAUUGUUUCGUUCGCCCAUCCUUGCAGGAGACCGAGCUAGGCCCAAGACGUAGUGAACAUAAAAAAUUGCAAGUAAUUUAUUUCGCUUGUAAAGUUUUAUUUUCUUCGAAUUUGUAAUCAAUUUUCUUCACUUCAACAAUAUAAGUGACGAUACCUCUGAAAACCCAAAAUUGGCACACCCUCGCCACAUAAAUCCCAAACUAAUUUUUGUGCCAUAAAAACGGCCAAACAAGUAUACUCGUGUUACAUUUAACUCAAAUUAUUUUUUGUAAAACAAUAUGAUUCCAUUCAUUGCAGAACCAAAAAUAAAAUUGCACACAGGUAACUAUUUGUACCCAUUGUGGUGAAAUUAAGUUAUUUCCUAUUAUUGUCCCCGGUUAGAUUAGAUAGCAAGCUUGCAAAUGCAUAUUCUGUUGGAUGCUACAAGUACGUUUGUUUCGUUGAAAAUGAAUGAUUUGAAAUAUAUAUUUAAAUUGUGGCUUGCAUCACUUACAAAAAUUAAUGGGUGGAAAAAACCUCCAUCGUUCACGAAGAAAUUUUCACAUAAAUUAUCAUCAAUAAUGAAAACAUUUUUCGUUGACUAAUUAUGUCCAGCAAUACAAGCGAUUAUAUAUAGGAAAAAGUUUUUUUCAAUCACUUAUUUCCAUCGAAACAAACAGAGUCUAAAUAAAAAUCAAUAUGAUUUUCCUUAGACUAUUAUGCUAAAGUUUUGCACAUCGAUCGCUUAUCUAUGAGAUUUAAAUUUUCUUCCUCUCAUUUUUAUAUUUUUGUGUUGGACUUUUUAAACCGAUAUAACAAUCAAGUUCUACCUAGAUUCAUUUCGCGAGUUUGGCUUCUCGUUUGUCCCCUCCACGUGCCAUUCUCAAUGUAGACUUUCCAAGCACUACAUUAGGAUCACCAAACCCGGACAAAAAUCAGUUCAAACCGUGUUAUUUUGAAAUUAGGUAUGUCCAAAGCUGCAUCCCCAGAACCAAAUGGAUCUUGCUCUUCUCUCCUUAGAGGGAAUAUCUGGGCCCAAUUUACCUGAUGUAAUUCAAUAUUGGAAGUUGAGACUUUUUCAAUGAGGAUAUCAUUGAAUACUCUCAGAAGCUGCCUAGCCAUGUUCAACUGCUACGAACAUAAAAUUUUUGUGGACCCAAAGCAUGCCGCAGGCUUACAUGUUCAAGAUCGUGGCCGGAAUUGCCAAAAUAAUAAAAUGAAAUUUUGGUUCGAAAGAUCCAACCUGGAUCUCAACCACCAUUGUAGGUUCAUUUUUAGUGUUCACCCAAGUUUGCUUUUUGUUUAGAGAUCCUGCACGCUAUAGAUUUGAAAGACAGAACUUGAGCUAAAAGAGUCUAAGUAAAUUCACAAAUAAUGGAAAAUAUGUUCUAGAUUUUAAUUUCCUGGAUUUACUUCAUUGUUAUUUUUAUUUUAUUUUUUUGCAUUCUCAGGUUAAUAUUAUCUUGAAAAAGAAAAAAAGUUAUUCGGAAUUCAUGCUAUAAUUUUAUGAUUUACGAAACAUGACAUUACCACGUUUCUUCUUACUUUCAUCAUCCUUGAUUUUACUAAGUAAUGAAUAUUACGAUUCACCAACCCUCAGCUCCUCAGGUCACAUCUGACAUCCUUUGACUAACAUUAUUUUUAUUUUUUUGGUAUGACUUUGACUGACAUCGUUAGCUAUGAACAAAAGAUAUGCCCGGGAGAAGCGCGGGCCAAACACCUAGUCUGUAAAAUGCUCGGAAAAGAAUAAAAUUACAAACCUAAUAAUUAGAAAGAUAGAAAGACGACAAAUGAGCUGAGAUAGUGGACUUUGGAGGGAUGAAUUCGAAGAACCUCCCCAAAACCACCUAAAAGGUCGAUCUUAAAGGUAAAAAUAAAUGAGCUCAGAGACUUCAAAUAAUUCUUCAUCUUUUUACCUAUAUAGUCCUUAAAACAACCUAAUCAAAAGUUAGGUCAUGUUCAAACGAAUUCUUAUUUUGGGCCCACCGUCUGCAUUUUUCACUAAUAGGAAGCUUCUUCAAGUUUGACUAAUUGCAUCCUUGUCAUUUAUUCUAAGUUUAGGCAUUGAAUUUCACUAGACAAAAUAAAGUUAAGAUUGACAUGUAUCGAAGAGAAACAUUCAUAAUUGGAUAGAUGUAUCCAUCAAACGUAACUUAUGCACUCUAUUAUGUGAAAUUGUCCAAUCAAUCCUAAAUGUAUUGUACGAAUGUUAGUUCAUUCCUAAACUUUUCAAUAUUUUCCAAUAGAGUCCUCUAUUUUUGCGCAAAAUUUCAAUGUAGUCUUCACAACCAAUCUUCGCCAGAAAUCCCUGACGUGGCAAUGUGUCACAUACAACGUACGAGGACUAGACCGCCGCAUUAGCGAUUUUAAGCAAAAAUUGUUUAAAAUGACUACAUUGAAAUUAAUUGGACCGCUGCGUCAGCAAUUUCGGCCAAAAAUUGAUCAAAAUGACUACAUUGAAAUUUCACACAAAAGUUUAAUACUCAAUUGGCAAAAUUGAAAAAUUUAGAAUUAAAUUAGUAGUCAUACAAAUGAUUUGGGAUUGAUUAGAUAAUUUUCCCCACUCUCUCUAAUUGCAAAAGAAACCUAAACAUCCAAAACUUGAUUAUGCUAACGCAUACUAUUAUAUUUUUGGUAAGAAAAGGGACAAAGUCCAAAAGUUACCUCAUUACUCUUCUAAUAAAACAAGAUUUAAAACAUGAUCCAAUCUGAUACCUUAACAAUAAACGAAGCAAACCUACUGAUGGCCUAUUUAAUAUAUGAUUAUCACCCGUAUUAUUGGGUUAAAUAACCUAAUUUGCUAGCCAAUCUGCACAAUGCAUACUAGUUUUGCUACAUCUAUUUGUCCAAAUUAAAUAGAUGACCAAAGACAAUGGUUAAUUAUCUGACCAAAGUCGCCAGGUAUUGAAAACUUCAAAGCUUAGAGGGUGGUUGGUGGAGGAUGAAUAUUACCCUUAACCUUUGAUUAUCUCCAUCGUCACUUCUUACGAAAUAGUCUCCGAAGUUUCUCUCCAAACUUGUAUCUGUAUUCGAUCUGUUCACCCAAUCCAACAAUAAUAAUUUCACCUUGAGACGUCGGAAAACAGUCUUCGAUCAUUAGAGCUGGCAAGCAAUUAUUUUAAUAAUUUUACGCGCUCAUAUGAUUUUAAAACCGUAGGAGCUUCGACAUAUCCUAACUAUAUAUAUAGGACCAAGGAGGUACUUUGGGAUUCAAAUUGUCCAACUUCGGAGAGGUGUCCGAUUAGUCCAGACCACCUUACUGAACGAGUCAUGGCCCGUUCUUCUACUCUUUCGUCGCCAACGGUGGUGGCCCUUUUUGCCGCCGCAUUGUUGUUUCUCCUCCGUCCAUUGAAUGCUGAACUAACUGCUGAUUUUUAUGCAAAGACAUGCCCGGACGUGUCCAGCAUCGUCCAGACCGUGAUUCAUGAGGCCCUUGAAUCCGACCCACGCAUCACCGCCAGCCUCCUCCGUCUCCAUUUCCACGAUUGCUUCGUCCAAGUGAGUCCCUACAAUGGAUCAAUUCCCAUUGACAAUGAGUCCCAACUUACCGCAUUCUUUUUACGGUACUUUUGAUCUGAUUAUUGAGUUAUUAGCCACGUAACCUAAUGCUUGAGAAUGACAUGUUUAAAGGGGUGUGAUGGAUCGAUAUUGCUGGACAAUAGCCCAACCAUAAAGAGCGAGAAAGAUUCCGCUCCGAGUUUUAAGUCCGCAAGAGGGUUCGGUGUGGUGGACAAGAUCAAAGCGGCUAUUGAGAGCACUUGUCCUGGGACUGUGUCUUGCGCUGACAUCCUCGCCUUGGCUGCUAACGCUUCCGUUUAUUUGGUAUAUGUUGUUUUAGUCAAAGAAAUAUAAAACAUAUUUAAAGUAUACUUAGGAUUCGUUAUUGUUACUUGGCCUACACGAAUUACAAUUGUGUUUCUCUUGAUUAUCACUUCUAUGAAAUUGCAGUCAGGAGGUCCAUAUUGGACGGUGCUCUUGGGGAGGAGAGACGGCUUGACCGCGAACCAAGGGCUAGCGAACACAUCGAUACCCUCCCCUUUUGAUAGCUAUGCCAACCUCACUUCCAAGUUCUUUGCUGUGGGCUUGGACAUCACCGACCUUGUCACACUUUCCGGUAAAAUAGAACAGUUGGACUUGCAUUUUGAUACGAAACGGGCAACUGCAGAUAUUUAUGCACACAAUAGAUUAACAGAGUGAAAUGUUAGGUUUUUGUCACAUAACUUAUCAGCACAAACAUCGCGUCACUUUCAUUUAGCACAUUUCAACUUCCUAAUAUGAUCAAGGUCUCUUCUUCAUUGAGAUCAACUGACGGGCAUUGGUUGUGCAUGUGCAUGGGCCGUGCCCGCACAGCUCAUGCCCCGGCAAUGCUAUCUACUAGAAUGAAUUUUAGUUAAGGAUUAAGGUUUACUUUAUUUAUCUAAAAUUGAAUAAGUAAAGAAUUGUCCUAAAACAUGAGAUCGACUAAAGUGCAUGUGUUGUGCCUAGGCUGUUCAUGGGUCAUGCAUGGGCUAUGCACAUUUACUAGAAGGAGUUUUGGCUGAGGAUUAAUGAUUUCUUUUUUACCAAAAAUUGAAAAAGUAAAGGAUUGCCCUUGACUUGAGAUCGACUGACGUGCAUUCGUUGUGCCUGGGCCAUGCCAUGUUGUGCAUGGGUAUGUAAAUAUAUUAGAAGGAAUUUUGGCUAAAGAAUUAAGGGUUUCUUUUCAAUCUAAAAUUGAAUAAGUAAAGGAUUGCCCUCGACUUAAUUUCAGGAGCAGUUGUGUAUCAUCACUACUCUAAAAAAGAUAGAUUAUUUAAAAACAAUUUUUUGCAUGACCGAGACUUAUCUCCUCGGUAAAUUCAAAAAUGAGAGGAAGCCGAUGAUACGUAAUUUCUUUAAAUUAGAAAUUAUGGGUUCAUACAUUUGCAGGUACAUAAUUUGCUAGUCCUAGAUAGAAAUGGUAAUUCAUAUAGGGUUAGUUUGAUUGAACUGAAUAAGUGAAGUUAAAAUCCCCUUGCGUGGAUCCCACUUAUCUUUAAUUCAAAUGGAUCUAAACCAAGCCCGUAUUAGCAACUCUUAGGUCUUAUCUAGUAUAACUUCUGAUAUCAAGAUGAAGAAGUGGUCAACAAUGACACUUCAUCGUUCAAUUCAUGACGAGGUUCAUAGCGCUGAAACCAUCGAAUUAAUGUAAUAUUUUCUUUGUUGUGAUUUGUUUUCAAUCAAACUAGUGUACUUUUAUGUGUAACUUUUUUUUAUUACAAAUUUGAAAAAUAUAUUCAUGUUUUAUUCAUUUUUUCAAUGGGUAAUUUUAUAUUCCUGAUAUCAUUACAGGAGUAUAAAUAUCGGGGGAGGAUGCUAUCAAAAUUUGCAAGCCCCUCAUAUACUUGUAUGAGAAAUGCCAAGUAUACUGGGGUCAUUUGAUAGAAUCAAUAAAUUAAGUGAUGUCACAGAUCAUUAUUAUUUAUUUAUAUUUUUACUAAUGAGUUUGUUGCUUAUGUUUAGUAUACAAAUUCUAUUAAGCAUUCCUAGUAUUGGUCUAUUUAUCCACCUUCACAAUUGAGCAUCUGCAGAUAUUUUGUUCUCUUAGCUAAUUAUUCGUGCAUAUGAUAAUAAACAGGAGCUCACACCUUUGGACGUGCACAUUGCAAGUCAUUCACCCCUAGGCUGUACAACUUCACCGCAGAUGGUGGCCCCGAUCCCACCCUAAGCCCGUGGUACUUGACGGCUCUCCAGAAACUUUGCCCUCCAAACUUCAGUAGUAGCGUCCUUGCCGACCUCGACCCGACGACCCCGAACUUGUUUGACAACCACUACUACUCCAACCUCCAGAAAAAUGACGGGCUUUUUCAGUCUGAUCAAGAGCUGUACUCGACAGCCGGUGCUGCGACAGUACCCAUCGUCAACAGCUUCAGUGCCGACCAGAGUGCCUUCUUCAAGAGCUUCACUCGGUCGAUAGUAAACAUGGGAAACAUCAGUCCUCUCACCGGAAGUAACGGGGAGAUCAGGUGCAAUUGUAGGAAGGUCAAUGAGAGUUGAGAGUGUUUUCUGGGGGGUUUUGGCCGAGUGCGUGUACGUGAAUAAAUAGCAGCGUGUGAAAUAAAAUUCAGGCAUUCUUGGAAAUGUCAAUUCUAUUGGGCAGAGAGCCGGAGAUUUGUAUUUCUACGUCGAGUGUGUAGUUUUAAGAGUUGAUCUGACUGAAGUAUUAUACAAGAUUGUUCAUCUCUGUUAAGAGAUCACAGAAAAUAAAUGAGAACUUUCUUAUAUUGAUCAUCCCUGAAGAGUUUGUUAGAAAUUCUAUAAACGUCGGCUAACAUGAAUCAUGUAGUAUUUUAGUUUGAAAAAACAUGUGGUUAUAUAAUAAAUAAAGGACAUGAGAUAAUACUCUAUAGCUUGAAUACAAUUUCGCUAAUCAAUUUAUAUUGGACUUAAGCACAUCUUGGUACGGUAAUAAAUUGGUGUUCGAAGGUCAGUGUAGGCUAGUAUUUUAAGGAUGAUUUGCGAUGAUAUUCUUCAAAGGCUAUAUGAAGAAGGAGAAUGAGCAAAAAACAUGUCCUCUUCCGUAUUGGUCAUGUAUACUUGACAUUUUCCAUACAUUUAUGUUGAUUGAUUAAGUGCUUAAUUUGAAUGUAACAGAACUUGUAUACAAAUAUUAGCAUUGUAUGCAGACUAUGCACACCACAUUAUGGGUGGAGUUUUACUUAAGACACGUAUCUAUUGGGAUUAAUUGAUUUGUAAAAUUCGGAUAAUCAAUAUGUUGAAACAUGUUCUGUAACUCAUAAUGCCCGUGUCCGGUUUGUGUUUCAAAGAUGCGAUACGAUUAACAAGAAUGUCAUGAUCUAAGUUUUACAGGAUUUAUUUAUGAAAUUAAACGAGCAUGAUGCAAAAACACGAAUUGACGGCUUAAUCUCUCUCUCUCGGCAGGUUUCGAAGCUUGGGGCCUGAAGCUCUGCUACAACAUUGAGCCUCGUCAUUCACAUACACAAACAACAUAUAUUGAAGAUCGUUUUGUAGGCUUCGCCAAGACGUGGGACUUUCUCUAUCUCUCGCUACACACACCUAACAGAUAUAGAAGCAUGUGUUAAGAUGCCCGUAUAAAGGCGUGUUUGUUUUGGCAUCUAUAAAGUCCUUUGGAGCCUCAAAGGUCUUUGGAUAAAUGCAUGUCCUUCGGCAAAAUUUUGGGGUGCUUCUGGGAGAUGCAAUUGCAUCUACAAAACUUUCUAAAAGCAUUUAGUCCAUGAUAGGUCCAGAGGAACUUUGGAAUGCUCAGCAACUGUCGAGCGACUAGUGUGCCACUGGCAAGCCUCUAUUGGCAGGUUUUGCCAUCAAAUACUUUGAUAUUUUCUAUAAAAAAACAGAAGCAAAAAUCCUUUACAAAGUAAAGUUUUACCAAAUGACAUUUGCAUUAAGGUCACUUUCCAAUAUGUUUUUAAAAUACACUUUAAUAAACACUAUUUGUAUUUCAAAAAACUCUUCAACUCAAAGACCUUUACAUCUUCUCAGAAAAUAUUUGCCUAAAGUUGAACCAAAUGCACCUAAAUUGUAUUAGAAAAUCGCACAUCAAAAAAUUAGUGCGAGAUGAAGAAAUAUUACUAUAUCAUAAUUGACCUAUAAUUUAUUAACUUAAUUUUUUUAGUAAAAAUAAAUUUAAUUGGACAUGUUGACGGACUCCCUUUUUGGUGAUCUCUGUCGAGUAAAGGCACCGGGCUCCUAACAGCACAUUGGGUAGGCUUCCAAGCUCCAACAAGUCUUCUCUCUCUUACAUAGAGGACAAUCGAAACAGAAUAUCUCCAUUCAAGGCAAAAAUUUGUCCAGCCCUGAUGGAAGUGCAGAACUGAAAAAUAAAAUUGCACACGUGUAACUAUUUGUACCUUGCGUGUUGCAAUUGAAUUUUUACCUAUUAUCGUCCCCGGUUCGAUUAGACAGCAAGCUUUGCAAAUACGCAUUCCUUUGGAUACUAAAUGAACAUUUCUAACAUUUUCCUUAGACCAUUAUGCUAAAGUUUUGCACAUUGCUCGCUUGUCUAUAAGUUGUUAGUAUGCCUUAUUUUCAUGUAGACUCCCUCCCAUCUAUAAGCUUUUGGAUAGGAUUUUCUGACCUAGUUUAACAGUCGAGUUCCACCCAGAUUUAUAUCAUGGGCGAGUCUUCUCGUUUGUCUACUCCACAUGCCAUUCUUAACGUAGACUUUCUAGCACAUAAUAGCAGGACCACCUACUCCCACGAUAUAUAUAUUCAGUUUGAACGGUACUCUUUCGAAGUUACGUAUAUCCUCAUCAACAUCCCCAGAACAAGAUAGAUCGUGCUCUUCUCUCCUCUGCGGGAUUAUCCGGACUUGAUUCAUCUGAUGUAGCUUGAUAAUGGAAGUUGAAUCUCUUUCAAAGGAGAUAUCAUCUAACGCACCCAAAAACUACCCGACCAUCUAUCAAAUAUCUUGACUGUUGAUUUUCGUGUGGACCCUUUCCUUCUCAAGUUCGCGUGCUUUUUGCUUCUAAUUAUAUCUGACCAAAAUUGAACACUUCAACGCUAGAGGUCGUUGGGUGGAGGAUGAGCAUUACCCUCAACCCUUGAUUAUUUCGAUCCUCACUUCUCACGAAAUCCUCGUCGGAGUCGCUCCCCAAACUUGUAAAUGCGCUCGGUCCUUGCACGUAAUCCCGCAUUUUAAUAUUCUCACAUCGAGGCGAGUGAAGCGGUCUGGUCAAUUCAUAAGGCUUUGAUCAUUAUAGCUGGCAAGAAAUUAUUUUAAUAAGUCUUACGCGCUUAUGAUGAUUUUGGAGCCGUAGGAGCUUUAACACAUACUAACUAUAAAUAGGACCAAGAACCUGCUUUAGGAUUCAAAUUACCCAACUUUUGAGAGGGAUCCGACUAGUCUAGACAACAUCACUUAACGAGUCAUGGCCGGUUCUUCUACUCCUUCCUCGCUGACGGCGGUGACCCUUCUCGCCGCAUUGUUGUUGUUCCUCAAUCCAUCGAACGCUCAGCUGACUGCCAAUUUUUAUGCGAAGACAUGCCCGAGCGUGUCCAGUAUUGUCCAAACCGUGAUCCAGGAGGCCCUUCAAUCUGACCCACGCAUCACUGCCAGCCUCCUCCGUCUCCAUUUCCACGAUUGUUUCGUCGACGUGAGUCCCUAAGCUAGAUCAAUUCCCAUUAACAAUGGUGCUCUCAAUCUGAUUACCAAGUAGCUAGUCACGCAACCUAAUGUUUAAGCCUGACAUGUGUGUUAAAAGGGGUGUGAUGGAUCGCUGCUGCUGGACAAUAGCCCAACCAUAAAGAGCGAGAAAGAUGCAGCUCCGAAUUUUAAGUCCGCAAGAGGGUUUGAUGUCGUGGACAAGAUCAAAGCGGCUAUUGAGAGUGCUUGUCCAGGGACCGUGUCUUGCGCCGACAUUCUUGCCCUUGCUGCUCAAGCUUCCGUCUCUUUGGUAUAUGUAGUUAUAGUCAAAGAAACAUAAACAUAAAUCUAAAGUAUAUUCAGGGUUCAUUAUUAUAACUCACCCUACUCAAAUCAUUAUUGUAUUUCUCUUGAUUAUCGCUCUUACCAAAUUGCAGUCAGAAGGUCCAUAUUGGACAGUGCUCUUGGGGAGGAGGGACAGCUUGACCGCGAACCAAGCCGGAGCGAACACAUCGAUACCCUCCCCUUCUGAUAGCUAUAACAACCUCGUUUCCAAAUUCUCUGCUGUUGGCUUGGACAUCACCGACCUUGCUACACUUUCCGGUAAAAAAGAACAGUUGGACUUGCAUUUUAAUACGAAACGUGCAACCGUAGAUAUUGAUGCACAAAAAAGAUUUAUAGAGUGAGAUGCUGGAUUUUUGUCACAUAAUUUAUCGG
This 30045-nucleotide long non-coding RNA is filed under the name Eucalyptus grandis. RNAcentral's name for it is "long non-coding RNA (EGRA_LNC000333)". The record is from RNAcentral. Lineage: Eukaryota; Viridiplantae; Streptophyta; Magnoliopsida; Myrtales; Myrtaceae.